RNAcentral lists this ribosomal RNA (503 nucleotides) under uncultured bacterium. RNAcentral describes it as "bacterial SSU rRNA". It matches the Rfam family "Bacterial small subunit ribosomal RNA", at positions 28 to 518 of the family's 1533-position model. The record is from RNAcentral.
GAUGAACGCUAGCUACAGGCUUAACACAUGCAAGUCGCGGGGUAACAUCUGGUAGAGCUUGCUCUUCCAGGAUGACGACCGGCGCACGGGUGAGUAACGCGUAUCCAACCUGGCCCAUACCACGGGAUAGCCCGUCGAAAGGCGGAUUAAUACCGUAUGCUGUCAUUAAGAUGCAUAUAUUGAUGACGAAAGGACUGGCGGUAUGGGAUGGGGAUGCGUCUGAUUAGCUUGUUGGCGGGGUAACGGCCCACCAAGGCGACGAUCAGUAGGGGUUCUGAGAGGAAGGUCCCCCACAUUGGAACUGAGACACGGUCCAAACUCCUACGGGAGGCAGCAGUGAGGAAUAUUGGUCAAUGGGCGUAAGCCUGAACCAGCCAAGUAGCGUGAGGGAAGACUGCCCUACGGGUUGUAAACCUCUUUUGUUUGGGAAUAAAGUGCGGGACGUGUCCCGCAUUGCAUGUACCAUUUGAAUAAGGACCGGCUAAUUCCGUGCCAGCAGCCGC